AUUGAACGCUGGCGGCAGGCCUAACACAUGCAAGUCGAACGAGUGGCGGACGGGUGAGUAAUGUCUGGGAAACUUCCCGAUGGAGGGGGAUAACUACUGGAAACGGUAGCUAAUACCGCAUACUAUCGGAUGUGCCCAGCUGGGCUUAGCUAGUAGGUGGGGUAACGGCUCACCUGGGCGACGAUCCCUAGCUGGUCUGAGAGGAUGACCGUCCACACUGGAACUGAGACACGCUCCAGACUCCUACGGGAGGCAGCAGUGGGAAAUAUUGCACAAUGGGCGCAAGCCUGAUGCAGCCAUGCCUCGUGUAGGAAGAAGGCCUUCGGGUUGUAAAGUACUUUCAGCGAGGAGGCGUUACUCGCAGAAGAAGCACCGGCUAACUCCGUGCCAGCAGCCGCGGUAAUUC
RNAcentral lists this ribosomal RNA (406 nucleotides) under uncultured bacterium. Its description in RNAcentral is "partial 16S ribosomal RNA". It matches the Rfam family "Bacterial small subunit ribosomal RNA", at positions 30 to 526 of the family's 1533-position model. The record is from RNAcentral.